AGCUGGCUUCCUGAUCCAUCCAUCGGUAUAUCAGGUCUCCUAGACUCACAGUGCCUUGAAAGAAAGACAGGAAAUGAAACAAGAGAGAAAUAGCCCUCUGAUCAUUGCCUGCUUGGCAGAAUUUGAAGCUGUCCAAGAGGAGCCAAAGACUUCAUUAUAACUGCAGAACAGCAGAGGUGUUGCUUUUUUAGACCCGCAGUGUGAUGCCCUCAGACUCUGAUGGAAUACAGCUGCUUUCUCAGUAUUAAAUCCUACCCCCAAGGGAUGAAACAACAAUGAACUAUGCCCCUAAAAUGAAUUAUACCACAGCAGUACUUCAGUCUUCUCAGUCCUUGCAGUACUGGGCUCAAUGAAAAAGUGGAGAAACAACAGUAAUGGUAGGAAGAGCAGAGAUCCAGAGAAAAGCCCCUUUCCUGCAAAGAGGGCCUGCCUGCAUAAUUCAACUCCUCCACUCCCUGUUCUACAGAAUGAUUGCCUGCACCCCUAGCACUACAGAUGCUGAUCCACUGGGUGGUCUCAACUUUAAGAAAGGGCUGGUUCCCCACUUCAUAACUCACGCAGCCUUCUCAGUAUGGGAGACUGAGAAGCAGAAAGAACAGCAGGGCCAGUGCCCCGCCC
Long non-coding RNA from Mauremys reevesii (Reeves's turtle), 618 nucleotides. RefSeq lists it as uncharacterized. The record is from RefSeq and is a predicted model, not a curated record. The transcript is spliced from 4 exons. NCBI's taxonomy places the organism in Eukaryota, Metazoa, Chordata, Testudines, Geoemydidae.